This 422-nucleotide ribosomal RNA is filed under the name uncultured bacterium. RNAcentral describes it as "partial 16S ribosomal RNA". It matches the Rfam family "Bacterial small subunit ribosomal RNA", at positions 362 to 776 of the family's 1533-position model. The record is from RNAcentral.
UUUUGGACAAUGGGCGCAAGCCUGAUCCAGCCAUGCCGCGUGAGUGAAGAAUGCCUUCGGGUUGUAAAGCUCUUUCGGCCUGAAACAAAUCGCGCAGGCUAAUACCCUCCGCCGACGACGCUACCGCCCUACUAAGCACCUGCCAACUACGUCCCAGCAGCCGCCGUAAUCCGGAGUGUGCGAGCGUUAAUCGGAAUUACAGGGCGUAAAGCGUGCGCAGGAGGUAGAUUAAGACAGGCGUGAAAUCCCCGGGCUUAACCUGGGAACUGCGCUUGUGACUGGUCAGCUAGAGUACGGCAGAGGGGGGUGGAAUUCCACGUGUAGCAGUGAAAUGCGUAGAGAUGUGGAGGAACACCGAUGGCGAAGGCAGCCCCCUGGGCCGAUACUGACGCUCAUGCACGAAAGCGUGGGUAGCAAACAGG